RNAcentral lists this ribosomal RNA (253 nucleotides) under uncultured bacterium. RNAcentral describes it as "partial 16S ribosomal RNA". It matches the Rfam family "Bacterial small subunit ribosomal RNA", at positions 524 to 776 of the family's 1533-position model. The record is from RNAcentral.
UACGUAGGGAGCAAGCGUUGUCCGGAAUCAUUGGGCGUAAAGCGCGCGUAGGUGGCCUCGUAAGUCCGCUGUGAAAGUCAAAGGCUCAACCUUUGAAAGCCGGUGGAUACUGUGAGGCUAGAGUACGCAAGAGGCGAGUGGAAUUCCUGGUGUAGCGGUGGAAUGCGCAGAUAUCAGGAGGAACACCAAUAGCGAAGGCAGCUCGCUGGGACGUUACUGACACUGAGGCGCGAAAGCGUGGGGAGCGAACAGG